Molecule: ribosomal RNA, 1416 nt
Filed under: Parasitella parasitica
Lineage: Eukaryota; Fungi; Mucoromycota; Mucoromycetes; Mucorales; Mucoraceae
Description: SSU rRNA
Rfam family: Bacterial small subunit ribosomal RNA
Source: RNAcentral
AAUUUAAACUUAGUUUCGAGUGAAUGCUAUCUAGGGACUUGACACAUGCGAGUCGAAUGCGGAAUACUUGUAUUCUGACAUGGCGAACGGGUGAGUAAUGAAUAGGCAAGCUACCCAUAGGAUUGGUGGAAUACCAAAUAUUGAAACGGAUUAAUUCCGCCUAUGGAUGUACCUAUUGAAUAGAUUAGGUAGUUGGUAAGGUAACGGCUUACCAAGCCAAUGAUCUAUAGUUGGUCUGAGAGGACGAUCAACCACAGUGGGAAUGAGAAAGGCCCACACGAGCAAAGUAUCGGCAGCAGUGCGGAAUCUUGGUCAAUGGCCGAAAGGCUGAACCAGUCACCUAGAAGGACGGAUACAUUAAUUUGAUAAAGUCCUAACGGAAAGGAGGAUAAUGACUGUACUUUCCUAUUAAUCCCGACCAAUCUCGUGCCAGCAGUCGCGGUAAUACGAGAGGGGUAAGCAUUAUUCAUCAUUAAUGGGUCUAAAGGGUACGUAGGCUGUAUCAUAAGACUGAAAGGUAUCGAACUAAAUGAAUAAGAGCUUUUCAGUAACUAUGAAACUAUCACCGGCCAUUUGGCCGGUGACUGUUAGGGCCCCGAGGGGGCCCUCGCUAGAGUGUAAUGGAGGAAAGAGGAACUCCGAGAGUAGGGAUGGAAUCUGUUGAUCCUCGGAAGACCGCUUAAGGCGAAGGCUUCUUUCUAACUAAACACUGACGCUGAGGUACGAAAGUAUGGGGAGCAAAACGGAUUAGAGACCCGUGUAGUCCAUACCGUAAACGAUGAGUGCCUUAGAUUGGUUAUUAAUCAGUCUAUAAAUGUAGAUUAAAGCACUCCACCUGGGGAGUACUGCCGCAAGGUUGAAACCCAAAAGUAUAGAGGGUCUUGAAAACCAGCAGUGAAGCAUGUUGUUUAAUGUGAUGAUCCGCACAACAUCUUACCACUCCUUGAAUGCUACACAGGCGUUGCAUGGCUGUCUUCAGUUCGUGUCGUGAGAUGUAAGGUUAAGUCCGCAUAACGAACAAAACCCUUGCAACUAGUUAAUAUCUAGUUGAGCAUCCAGUGAUAAACUGGAAUAAUUAGGACUAAGACAAGCCCUCAUGGCCCUUAUGGAGUGGGCUACAGACGUGCAGCUAGGGGGAAUACAAAAGGAUCCAAUAAGGUAACUUGGAGGUAAUCCCCAAAUUUCCCCUUUGUGGAUUGAGCUCUGUAACUCGAGCUCAUGAAUUAGGAAUUGCUAGUAAUCGGCGAAUCACCAUGUCGCGGUGAAAUUAAAGCUUCAAGAUCUACUAACUGCCUGUCACGGGCUGGGAGUAAGCUAUACCUGAAGUUGUCUAAAGACAUCCAAGGAUAGUAAACGACUGGUCUGAAGUCAUAACAAGGUAGCCGUUCGGGAACGAGUGGCUGAAUGGUUGUUACC